CUAUGACUCAUGUAAAAGAAAAAAAUUCCCCCAAUACAGCAGUCAGAUCCAGCAGAACCCUUCUGAGUCACCAAUCCUGACACCCUGAACCAUGCCAGGGGCAUUUCUAUGAAAAUGAGUUGUCUCAUUUUAAAAUAUGUUUUUUUAUUAUUUUCUUAUUUCCAAGUAAUACACAGUAAUCGUAGCAAAUUUGGAAAAUGCAAAAAAAUAAAAAGAAACAAGAAUCGAUCACAAAUAUACCACUUAUACCCUGUUGGAUUUUCAUCGAUGUGCUUUUUACUUCACCAUUCCAAGAUGACUGCUGUAGCUCCAGGCAUUGCAUCCUCACCAUGGCUUGAUAAGCUGGGCUAUGUCCACACCCUGGAUCCGAACUGGCGAACCCUAGGCUGCCGAAGCAGAGCGCAUGAACUUAACUGCUGUGCCACUGGGCUGGCCCCAGGAAAGAGCUGAGAACAGUGUUCUCACCAACUAGUUAGAAGAGCCAAGGGCAAAAUAAGUUGCUCUGAUAGCCCGCAUUCUCCAAGCUCAGGCAUGACACUACAGGAUUCCUGGAAAAGCUGCGGAAGAUGUCUGACAGCCUUCUCCCAUCCCAUUCCGAAAUCAGAGAACAUGAGCAUAGCUCUUUGUGGCUCCAGCAGGGAGGAGAGGGGUGAGUCACCAGCCCACAGCCUGUCGUCUGCUGAACUGGUGGCUUAAUGCUUGCUGCUAUUGAGCAGGUUGCCACUGGCCACACCAGAGGCCAGGCUGGCCCUGUUCCUAGUAUAGGAAGCUCCAAAGACAGACCCAGGAGCCUAUGCAGCUAGUAGGCUCCUGGUUUCUACCUCCAGGAAAUAGCUCAAGAGACCAAAUAACUCAAGAGGCCAGAGGAGCGAGAAGCUGCCAGGCUCAGCCCCAUUUCCCCGCCUGCCUCUGAGUGUGCUGACUGGACCGCCAGUAGAACUGGCGCAGCCACCUGCCUCACCUGCCUCAGAUGAGCAUGAUGGACGGAUGCUUUUAUGCAGGCCCAUCAUUCACAAAAUCUUACUCUUGAAGAUCCUGGGAGGGGAUCAUGGAAACACAUUCAUUCAUCAAUCGCACAUUUAUUAUUAAGUACUUCCAUAAUAUUGAUUUCUAGCAUCUUGGUCAGUAGCAGGGACACAAUGAUGAAGAACACAUCAUCUUUUCCCUCAAGGAGCUUGCUGUCUAUCAUAAAGACAUAGACGUGAACAAAUCAUUAUAACAUACCAUUGAUGCUAGGCCGGAAGUGUGUCCAAGGUGGGGGAGGUGCGAAGGAGGAGGUGAGUUAUACCUACUUGGGGGAUGAGGAGACUAGGAAAGGCUUCACGGAACAGGUGCUGUCAGAUCCGAAUCUGUUGGCGUUUCCAAACACCAACUUCCUGUGCAUCCCUGAAGCUAUGUCUGACACCAGAGCCAGGUCCUAGCAGUCACUAGCUAGUGUCCAACAGUGGUGGGCCACCCCAGGUCCAAGCCUAUGCAGAAGGCUUUUUAAACCAGAGACAAUGAGUCCAAGCUUAGGAACAUAGAGUGAUCUCUCAGGGUUGAAGACCCAGCCAUCAGAAAGGACAUGGAUUUGAACCCACAGUGGAGUUUCAUUUGGCCUCUGACUUCGUUUCAUUUUCCCAUAACCAGACCCUGAGACAAAGCUAAAUCUUCAGGAAAGGCAGAGUGAAAAGCACAUUUAUUGUAUAUAAUUUUGUGACACCAUUACCUCCGGCUCCUCCCAGGUCGGGGGUAGAAGCAGUGUCCACACCCAACUGUGGAUUUGAAAGAACUUGGUUCCACUGUCAAGGCUAACAGUAAAGAGAGAAUCAGAAAUAUGGUUUAGGACAAGAACCUGUCAAGGGGAGGAAUUUCUCAAAGGUAACAAUUUUCUGUUUCAUUUUAUGAGGAUACUAUGGCUAUUAAGAAUUUAAAUAAGCUGUAUCCUCACUAGUAAAAUUCAUUCUAGGUUUAAAAUUAAACUUCAAUCUAUUAACAAAUUAAAUUCAAAUAAUUAAGUCCAAUAUAACAGAGUGGACAUGCCAUGGAGAGUGGAGUCUGCAGUUAUUUCUCACAGCAAAAGGACUUCUACACACUACUUAUUUGUCUGGGAACAGAAACCUCUCACUGUAAAGUCAGGAUUGGGGGCAGAGAGACAUUCCUGAGAGGCCUGGAGUCCCCAGACCUUUCAGCGAGACCAUCACAGCCUGGAACAGCGUCAGCCAAAAAUAGAGGCAGGAGUGUUCAGACCUGCUAUGUCCUGGUUAGCCCUGUUCAACCCCUACCCACUCCCUGUGACCACUGGGGUGUUCAGAAGCCACCCUACUCUGGAGGUCACCUGGAAAAUGGUGACCCUGCUUGGAGGCAGCUCUAGGCCGACUGAUGUCCUGCUUAGGAGGCAGUUUGGCCUCGUAGUCGAGACGAUAGGUACUGGACUUGAUCAAAUUCCAGCUCCAUCAUUUACCAGUGUGGGACCUUCAGUGGGACCUCAGCCUCCCAGAGCCACUUUCCUUAUCUGUAAGAUGGAGAUAAAAUUAUCAUGAAAACAUACUGCUAAGCUCUGUCCUCAGGAUUAGGAGAUUGUGGAUGGAUUUGUGAUUGUGCAAUGUUUCUUGCUGUUCCUGUAAAUUCUGAAAAGGUCAGAUAUCUACAGAUGCAUGUCACGAAGUUUGCUUCUCUUGUUCAAUCGAAGAAAGAGAUUACACUAGGGAAGCCCUAAAUUUUCUUCUGAGUUGUAUUUUCAUAAAUGUUUAGGGUUCUGAUUUUUUUAAGUUGGAGAUUUGGAAAUUUUUGCCCAAGAUCAGUUCCUUAGCAGCUGUGUCUAGAGAAUGUGACCUAAUGUUUCGUAUUAUGAGCUUAUGUCUAUUCAUAAUGUCUAUACAAAAACUUAUCUUAAACUAGAUUUGACUUGUUAAAAUCUGAGGUCUUUAAUUGCUUAAAAUAUUCACUCAAAGAAUUGAGUUAACUUAAUUACAUGAAACUUUGCUAUGAUUAUUGUAUUGUCCUGAAGCCUUUGUACAUUUUCAAGUUUGCAAGUGAUGUUGUAAAUGUAAU
This is a long non-coding RNA of Equus caballus (horse), 3033 nucleotides long. NCBI's taxonomy places the organism in Eukaryota, Metazoa, Chordata, Mammalia, Perissodactyla, Equidae. The record is from Ensembl.